RNAcentral lists this non-coding RNA (20 nucleotides) under Arabidopsis thaliana (thale cress). The record is from RNAcentral. Lineage: Eukaryota; Viridiplantae; Streptophyta; Magnoliopsida; Brassicales; Brassicaceae. RNAcentral also lists the same sequence under 83 other names.
GCAUAUCAAUAAGCGGAGGA